RNAcentral lists this ribosomal RNA (305 nucleotides) under uncultured bacterium. RNAcentral's name for it is "bacterial SSU rRNA". It matches the Rfam family "Bacterial small subunit ribosomal RNA", at positions 334 to 656 of the family's 1533-position model. The record is from RNAcentral.
UGCUCCUACGGGACGCAGCAGUGGGGGAUAUUGCACAAUGGGGGAAACCCUGAUGCAGCGACGCCGCGUGGGUGAAGAAGCGCCUCGGCGCGUAAAGCCCUGUCAGCAGGGAAGAAAAUGACGGUACCUGAAGAAGAAGCCCCGGCUAACUACGUGCCAGCAGCCGCGGUAAUACGUAGGUGGCAAGCGUUGUCCGGAUUUACUGGGUGUAAAGGGCGUGCAGCCGGAGAGACAAGUCAGAUGUGAAAUCCACGGGCUCAACCCGUGAACUGCAUUUGAAACUGUUUCCCUUGAGUGUCGGAGAG